Etheostoma spectabile (orangethroat darter) is the source of this 102-nucleotide long non-coding RNA. RefSeq lists it as uncharacterized. The transcript has 5 exons. The record is from RefSeq and is a predicted model, not a curated record. NCBI's taxonomy places the organism in Eukaryota, Metazoa, Chordata, Actinopteri, Perciformes, Percidae.
UGGUUGAUUAGAUAAUUGCAUUAAUGAGAAAUUGAACAGGUGUUCCUAAUAAUCAUUUAGGUGAGUGUACAAUCGGAGAAACCUUUGAGCUUAAAUUCCUCA